Molecule: ribosomal RNA, 327 nt
Filed under: uncultured eukaryote
Lineage: Eukaryota
Description: partial 18S ribosomal RNA
Rfam family: Eukaryotic small subunit ribosomal RNA
Source: RNAcentral
CCCUUAGAUGUUCUGGGCCGCACACGCGCUACACUGAAGGAGGCAGCGUGUACUCCUGGAUCGAAAGAUUUGGGUAACCCGCGAAUCUCCUUCGUGCUAGGGAUUGAGGUUUGCAAUUAUCCUUCAUGAACGAGGAAUUCCCAGUAAGUGCAAGUCAUAAGCUUGCGCUGACUACGUCCCUGCCCUUUGUACACACCGCCCGUCGCUACUACCGAUUGAAUGAUUUAGUGAGGACUUCGGACUGGGACCGAUGCGGCUUUCGGACUGCGUCGGUAUUCUGGAAAGAUGUCCAAACUGUAUCAUUUAGAGGAAGUAAAAGUCGUAACA